CUUCUCCCUUCUUGCCCAACUUCACAGUGCUCAGAUCCUCUCGGGUCUUUGUUUCUGUUGCAAGUCCAGAGGGUGAGCUGUUGUUUCCAUGACAACCACCCACACAUGGAUAUCUGAGGUCAUGUGUGCACAAAGGAAGGAGCAAGCCGGCCAUGAUGACAUACAUGUUUCCUGCGUCUGUAACCCUGCGGAUCUUGAUUCAACUCGGCUCCCGCUGAACACGCAGGCUUACUCCUGCCUUCGAGGUUCUUCUUCCCGCUCGGUGCAUGGUAUGGAAUAAGAUAUUCAGGAGCUGCUUGGGGAUUUCAGAGA
This is a long non-coding RNA of Mus musculus (house mouse), 312 nucleotides long. RefSeq annotates it as predicted gene, 35567. Lineage: Eukaryota; Metazoa; Chordata; Mammalia; Rodentia; Muridae. The transcript is spliced from 3 exons. The record is from RefSeq and is a predicted model, not a curated record.